GGCCCCUUGGUCAAGUGGUUAAGACAUCGCCCUUUCACGGCGGUAACAUGGGUUCGAAUCCCGUAGGGGUCA
Molecule: non-coding RNA, 72 nt
Organism: Caloramator quimbayensis
Lineage: Bacteria; Bacillati; Bacillota; Clostridia; Eubacteriales; Clostridiaceae
Source: Rfam